Molecule: transfer RNA, 85 nt
Filed under: Nocardiopsis terrae
Lineage: Bacteria; Bacillati; Actinomycetota; Actinomycetes; Streptosporangiales; Nocardiopsidaceae
Description: tRNA-Glu
Source: RNAcentral
GUAGACGAGUUGCGAGGUCAGCCGUCAGGGGCGUUCUCGGCUUCCCAAGCUGAUAACGCGGGUUCGAUUCCCGUCAUCCGCUCCA